AAAACUUGGAAUUAAACAAAAAAAAAAUAAUAAUAAUAAAUAAACAAACCCUAAGUUACAUGUUCAUCCUAACAGAAAAAGCAUUUAGCUACUCAUAACGUUAAAAUUAAACAAAUAAAAGUUAAAAUACAUCAUCGGUUUUAAUUACAAUUAACAAGAUAAAAAUCACCCCGAGCCAUUGUUGAUGAUUCGCCACACGAAUCGCAACAAUUAUUCCUCGUCUUCUUCCUUACGUAAUGUAAAUCUUCCUGUAAAUUGACGAUGCAACGUGAUUAAUUUCAAAAUCUUGCACAAAUUAUCAAAUGAUUAUUUGCCAAAAAUCUGGAAUUAUUUUCUCAACGACUGCUGCGUUUUUCUUCUCAUUUUCUCCCUGCCGAAUUUUUCUUUUCUUUUCAUCUGCCAGCCCCACUUGUUUGCAUCCCAAAAGGACUCCACUUUCCUUGUUU
Molecule: long non-coding RNA, 446 nt
Filed under: Olea europaea (common olive)
Lineage: Eukaryota; Viridiplantae; Streptophyta; Magnoliopsida; Lamiales; Oleaceae
Description: long non-coding RNA (OEUR_LNC011631)
Source: RNAcentral